Molecule: long non-coding RNA, 2301 nt
Filed under: Daphnia magna
Lineage: Eukaryota; Metazoa; Arthropoda; Branchiopoda; Diplostraca; Daphniidae
Description: uncharacterized LOC116922094, transcript variant X6
Source: RNAcentral
UUGUUCGUCUGGUGCUAUUCUUCGUCAUCGAUGUUCAGUUCACGUCACAGUCGGGUCCUAGACAAAUUGAAAUGAAAAUUGGAAACCGGUGUUCAGUUCUCGUGGCUCGUGUCAUUCUUGAAGCUUUGUGUAUAGUUCAAAUGAUUAGAAAAGUAACAAAGAAACUUCUCUACAGUUCAAAAUUUCAAUGUUAGAUUAAUGCAAUUGCAUUUGUUUUCAUUAAGAAGUUCAAUUGUUACACACUGAUUUUUUGGUAGGUAAAACCCAUUUUUUCCCUCAUCUUGGAAAUCCCUUAACCGUAAGGCCUAAAAUAUUUUAUAGCCGCGAAAGUGGAAUAAUUUAUGACUUAGAGGUUAAUUGUUUCUCACUUCCACGUAUCUACUCUAUGACUGGUUUGGCUGCUUGUAAUAACCAAGGUUACUUUUGACAAUUUCAACAUUUUAUUUAAUUGCACAAUUUUUAACUGAAGAUGUAAUUCAGCUACUGCAGUGUAAUUAACUAAUUAUGCAAACAUUGCAAAUUUGCAAUCAAUUGACUUGGUCAUAAUCGAUCCAAUUUGUAAUCGAUUCACAAAAAAUCGGCCCGAUUAUAGUCAAUUAGUGUCUAUCGUCUAUCGCAGUUUACUGUUUAGCUUCAACCAGACAAGGACGAAGGAAUUUAUUUGGAACAACGUCUCUGCCAGUGGCCGCCAUGUGUGCACAUGACUAAGAAACUUAAUUUUGGUUAUUAUAGUUGCAUUUAAAAAAAAAAUGCUAAAGCGAUUAAUAUCACGUGAAUCAUUUGGACUAUUAUGUGGAAAACCUUGAUAUGAAUCAAUUCGUAUUGGAUAGUAUAAAGGGUCCUGUUGAGCUGGGAAAAGUUUCUUGGAAACUCGAAAUAAUAAACUAUCCUGGUCUCCCAAUAGCAAUUAAUGCUUGCUACAUUUUAAAAAUGUUUACUGAUCUUCCACCACCUAUGUUGCUUUCCAUGACAUGGGUACUUAAAGGAGUUGUACUUGGACCUAAAUCUGCUAGCAAAAAAGAUUAGAAAGAAAAUUUUCAAAGGAAUUUAAUGUGAGGAACUAAAAACUGCACUUUAUCUCACGGAAGGAAAAUGGAGGUCAGAGAAUGUGCAGAAUGAGUAUUGGUUAAUAUCACAUUUCUUUCCAACACCUACUUUGUUAUCUCUGGAGUAUGUUCAAUUACUGUUGUAUAAUUCCCAACAUAAAGGUAAGGUUUUAAAAUUUAUUUAUUAUGGUUUUUGAGAUAUUUUGUCUUUUGUGUUGAUGCUGGGUCUAGUUCAGUAUAGAAAUGUAGUAACCAGAGAGUAAACAGUAUGUGUUGAUGCAAUCACAGCUCAAACAUGCCAUGGGGAUUGGUCAGUUUGUGACCCAGAUACCAGUAUUUCUUCUGGCCAUCAUUUUCUGUUUAAAUUUGUGAAACUGGCAAUAUUUCCAAUUUACUGGCUACAGAAACUAACGUAUUUUCUAUUUUACCCUAGAAAGUUUUAUCCAUCAAGAAGCUGGAGCACUGCAGAAAUGAAGAAUUCUUCCUAACCCUGUGUGUACUUAUUCAAAGAAGGAUAAACACUUGUUACCUGCAACAAUGUUGAUAAUGAUGUCAUAAAACUUUGAAGUCUAGCAUUGUCAGUUGAUUUGUAGGUUGAAAUUCCGCAAAGGCUUUACACAUAUUCUACAGUUUAGUACUGACAGGUGACAUGUAAAGUUGAAUUUAUGUGUGGUGAUGACACAAACUUGUGGAGAUUUGCUGGCAAAAAGUCAAUCCCUUCAAUGGAAACAAUUUUAAAACUUUCUGCUAUCAGUGUGUUUUUGUUCCUCUUCCUCUCAAUGAACAACCAAACUUGAUGUUGCUCUUGUGAUGUAUCUGGAUUAUUGGGAUAACCUAACUUAAUGUUGCCUCGUGAUGGAUUUGGAUUAUUGGUAGGAAAAUGGAAAGCGUCACCAACUAUCUGAUCGCUCUCAUCUUCGUUUCGUGGAUCAUUCGUGUCUGUUAAGGAUUUCGGCAAAGAGCUGCUGGCGGAUAUCGCAACAAUUCUGAAACAUUCCACAUGAUUCCUCGACUGCAUCUGAUUGUCAGCGAUGUGGAUGAAAUCGUCAUUUCGCAAAACCAGCAAAGUGGGCCAAAGGUCAUCGGCUUUUCCGUUUAUCCUUUGCUUAAACUCACGGGUUCUGAUCUCAUCGAUCAAGCCUUUUUUUGUCAGAAGAUGAGUCAAUACCUCAAGUGAUAUUUUAUUGUUCCAAAAACUUUUGAAACGGGUAACGAAGGAUAUUUUACUCUACGCGUGUACAGCGCUCAGGCAAUU